This 700-nucleotide ribosomal RNA is filed under the name Escherichia coli. Its description in RNAcentral is "bacterial SSU rRNA". It matches the Rfam family "Bacterial small subunit ribosomal RNA", at positions 797 to 1501 of the family's 1533-position model. The record is from RNAcentral. Lineage: Bacteria; Pseudomonadati; Pseudomonadota; Gammaproteobacteria; Enterobacterales; Enterobacteriaceae.
AGGGCGAGGAUGUCGACUUGGAGGUUGUGCCCUUGAGGCGUGGCUUCCGGAGCUAACGCGUUAAGUCGACCGCCUGGGGAGUACGGCCGCAAGGUUAAAACUCAAAUGAAUUGACGGGGGCCCGCACAAGCGGUGGAGCAUGUGGUUUAAUUCGAUGCAACGCGAAGAACCUUACCUGGUCUUGACAUCCACGGAAGUUUUCAGAGAUGAAAAGGUGCCUUCGGGAACCGUGAGACAGGUGCUGCAUGGCUGUCGUCAGCUCGUGUUGUGAAAUGUUGGGUUAAGUCCCGCAACGAGCGCAACCCUUAUCCUUUGUUGCCAGCGGUCCGGCCGGGAACUCAAAGGAGACUGCCAGUGAUAAACUGGAGGAAGGUGGGGAUGACGUCAAGUCAUCAUGGCCCUUACGACCAGGGCUACACACGUGCUACAAUGGCGCAUACAAAGAGAAGCGACCUCGCGAGAGCAAGCGGACCUCAUAAAGUGCGUCGUAGUCCGGAUUGGAGUCUGCAACUCGACUCCAUGAAGUCGGAAUCGCUAGUAAUCGUGGAUCAGAAUGCCACGGUGAAUACGUUCCCGGGCCUUGUACACACCGCCCGUCACACCAUGGGAGUGGGUUGCAAAAGAAGUAGGUAGCUUAACCUUCGGGAGGGCGCUUACCACUUUGUGAUUCAUGACUGGGGUGAAGUCGUAAAGGGAAACC